GACGAACGCUGGCGGCGUGCUUAACACAUGCAAGUCGAACGGACAGGCCCUGCUUUUGCGGGGUGCUCGAGAGCGGAAGGGGGGAGUAACACGUGUGUAACCUGCCCCUGUCUUUGUGAGAUCACUACGAAACUGGGGCGAUAACAGGGUAGAAUCUCCUGCUGCGUGUGGUGCGUUGGUAAGUGUCGGCGGUUGGGGAUAGUCUCGCUGCUUAUCCGCUUGUUGGUGGGGUAGUGGCGUACCAAGGCUACGACGGGUAGGCGGCCUGGGCGGGUGACCGGCCACAUUACGCCUGAGAUACGGCCCAGACUCCUACCGGACGCAACAGGGGGAAAUAUUACACAAUAGGCGGAAGCCUGAUGCAACAACGCCGCGUGCGGGAUGACGGCCUUCGGGUUGUAAACCACUUUCGCCUGUGACGAAGAGGGAUUGACGGUACUGGGUAAAGAAGCACCGGCUAACUACGUG
Molecule: ribosomal RNA, 468 nt
Filed under: uncultured bacterium
Lineage: Bacteria
Description: partial 16S ribosomal RNA
Rfam family: Bacterial small subunit ribosomal RNA
Source: RNAcentral